This 1186-nucleotide small RNA is filed under the name Ganoderma sp. UH-H. RNAcentral's name for it is "eukaryotic LSU rRNA". The stretch from base 215 to 368 matches the Rfam family "5.8S ribosomal RNA". The record is from RNAcentral. Lineage: Eukaryota; Fungi; Basidiomycota; Agaricomycetes; Polyporales; Polyporaceae.
GAACGCCGAGUUGACUGGGGUUGUAGCUUGGCCUCCCGAAGGCAUGUGCACGCCCUGGCUUCCAUUCCACUUCUACACCUGUGCACUCACUGUGGGCUUCAGAUUGUCGUGAAGCGGGCUCCUUACCGGGCUUGUGAAGCGGUGUCUGUGCCUGCGUUUACUACAAACUAUUAAAGUAUCAGAAUGUGUAUUGCGAUGUAACGCAUCUAUAUACAACUUUCAGCAACGGAUCUCUUGGCUCUCGCAUCGAUGAAGAACGCAGCGAAAUGCGAUAAGUAAUGUGAAUUGCAGAAUUCAGUGAAUCAUCGAAUCUUUGAACGCACCUUGCGCUCCUUGGUAUUCCGAGGAGCAUGCCUGUUUGAGUGUCAUGAAAUCUUCAACCUGCAAGCUUAUGUGGUUUGUAGGCUUGGACUUGGAGGCUUUGUCGGCCAUGCCCGGUCGGCUCCUCUCAAAUGCAUUAGCUUGGUUCCUUGCGGAUCGGCUCUCGGUGUGAUAAUGUCUACGCCGUGACCGUGAAGCGUUUGGCGAGCUUCUAAUCGUCUCGGUUAGAGACAGCUUUAUGACCUCUGACCUCAAAUCAGGUAGGACUACCCGCUGAACUUAAGCAUAUCAUAGUGGGAAGAGAAGAGAGCAUUAAUCCGAGUUUUGACUGGGUUGUAGCUGGCCUCCCGAGGCAUGUGCACGCCUGCUCAUCACUCUACACCUGUGCACUCACUGUGGGCUUCAGAUUGUCGUGAAGCGGGCUCUUACGGGCUUGUGAAGCGGUGUCUGUGCCUGCGUUUUACUACAACUAUUAAAGUAUCAAAAUGUGUAUUGCGAUGUAACGCAUCUUAUACACUUUCAUCAGGAACUCUGGGCUCUGCAUCAUGAAGAACGCACGAAAUGCGAUAGUAAUGUGAAUUGCAGAAUUCAGUGAAUCAUGAAUCUUUGAACGCUUGCGCUCUGCUAUUCCAGGAGCAGCUGUUUGAGUGUCAUGAAAUCUUCACUGCAGCUUAUUUGUUUGUAGCUGACUUGGAAGCUUGUCCGCAUGCGUCGCCUCUUAAUGCAUAACUUGAUUCUUGCGAAUCGCCUGGUGUGAUAAGUUCAACUGGUGACGAGCUUGGGCAGAGCUCAUAUCUGCUCGUUGAAGAGCUUUAACUCUGUGUCACUCAAUCGCGUGGGAGUCCGCUACUUAGCAUCAUUUACG